GAGUUUGAUCCUGGCUCAGGACGAACGCUGGCGGCGUGCCUAAUACAUGCAAGUCGAGCGAGGGUUUUUAAGACCCUAGCGGCGGACGGGUGAGUAACACGUAGGCAACCUGCCUCUCAGACCGGGAUAACAUAGGGAAACUUAUGCUAAUACCGGAUAGGUUUUGGAUUGCAUGAUCCGAAAAGAAAAGAUGGCUUUUUGCUAUCACUGGGAGAUGGGCCUGCGGCGCAUUAGCUAGUUGGUGGGUAACGG
This 252-nucleotide ribosomal RNA is filed under the name uncultured microorganism. RNAcentral's name for it is "partial 16S ribosomal RNA". It matches the Rfam family "Bacterial small subunit ribosomal RNA", at positions 9 to 263 of the family's 1533-position model. The record is from RNAcentral.